CCAUUUCCCCAUUUUAAUUUUUUAAAAUUACUAGUAAAUAAAUUAUAAAUUAUAAAUUAUAAAUUAUAAAAUUAUAAAUAUUGGUAAAAAUAAAAAAUAUCAAAAUAUUUAUAUUAUUAAACUUUUAGGCCUAAUUAACUAAUUAAAGUCCUAAAUUUUUAUUUAGGACAUUAAAAAGACUGAGUAGAUUCUAAUAGCUAAACAUUUUUUUUAAUUUUAAUAUUCUUUAAAUAUUUUAAACUUAAAUCUAUUUUUUAUUUAUUUUUAGAUGUUAUAAUUGCCCACAAUGAAUCACAAUUUUAAUAUCUAAUCUAAUUUAAUCUAAUAUUUGCUUUUGAUUUGCUCUGAUUUAACUAUUGUGUUGUAAAGAGAAUAGUCAACAUUUAUAAAGUGCCCAUGCCACCAUUGAAAAAGUUAAUUUUGAAUCUAAAUUCGAUUUUAUUUGUAACAAUUUUGUAUUAGACUAUUAAUUUGUUCAUGAUAGUUUGCAAAAGAAGUUUGUAUCCCUUGCAUGUUGCGUUACUUACUAAUUUAAUGUAUGUGACUUUUGUAAUAGAUAUUAAUGUAAGAUAUAUUUCGAACUUUACUUUUAUUUGAAUUUUUUAUUUUAAUAUGAUUAACUCAAAAUCGAAAAAAAAUGUAUUAAUUAUUCGGGGAUCGGGGACCCUCGGGGAUCCCCUGUUAUUAUUCGGGGAGGGGAUGGGGAUUCUCUCAAGUAAUUCUGACGGGGACGGGGAGGGGACGGGGACAUACGCAAAAUAUCGGGGAUGGGUACGGGGAGAUCGGUCCCCUCCCCUCCCCUCCCCAUUGCCAUCUUCCCAAAAAUAAAUAUAAUUAAUCUAUUAAAAAUAAAGAAAAAGAGAAAUGAGUUAUUUUAAAUUUGAAGAGUUUGCGUUUGGCCAAAUGACAAUAUCUUUUUACCAAUUAUAAGUGCAUUUCCCUACUGAACACAUCUUAUCAUCUUCCGUAUCGAAAAAUAAAUUGCUCCAUUAUUUUUUCUCAUGUGAAAAUCUCUAUUUUAUGUUAUAUUUCAUUUUCUUAUCCAUUGGUUCUAAAAUCCUUGUGAAGGUAUAAAUUGGCCCAUAGAUUUUAGUCUAUUGAAUUUUCUUCUCCCCAGUUUUGAUCCACGAGAAUUUAUCACUUCUUAUAUAUUUUUGUGGUGAUUAUUGCUAGAUCUGAAACUUUUACAUCUUAAACCUUAGAGUUUAUUUUGGUUUGUAGGUCAUUGGUUGUGUGUAUUCUACAUCUGAAAUUUUUGUACUUUACAUCUAGAUAAUAAGAUAAAGGUGGAUUAUUUUUAUGCUCGACAUAAUAUUCCCACUAUUAUUGUUGAUUUUUCUAAUUGAUAUAAUCAUACCAAUGCGCAAGAUUUAUUAGUAACGUUGGUAUGCUUAAUAAUUAAUGGUUUAAGGAAUUAUUUACUGCAUUUGGUUUUACAUUUUUAAUCUUUGUUCCAUUGUUAUCAUCUCAUCAUCGUUGGCAUCGUUAUCAUUUUAUUCUCUACAACACUAAGUAUGCUGUAGACUACAUUAGUGUUGUGGCAUUGUACUGUUAAGUCGUAGUUGGUUAUUGUGAAAUGAAAAUUUUAAUUAUAAAAUAAAAGUUGAUAAUA
RNAcentral lists this long non-coding RNA (1612 nucleotides) under Citrus x clementina. RNAcentral describes it as "Citrus clementina (C. clementina) long non-coding RNA (CCLE_LNC003995)". Lineage: Eukaryota; Viridiplantae; Streptophyta; Magnoliopsida; Sapindales; Rutaceae. The record is from RNAcentral.